Molecule: ribosomal RNA, 484 nt
Filed under: uncultured bacterium
Lineage: Bacteria
Description: partial 16S ribosomal RNA
Rfam family: Bacterial small subunit ribosomal RNA
Source: RNAcentral
AUUGAACGCUGGCGGCAGGCCUAACACAUGCAAGUCGAGCGGAAGAAGGGAGCUUGCUCCUGGAGUCAGCGGCGGACGGGUGAGUAAUGCCUAGGAAUCUGCCUGGUAGUGGGGGAUAACGUCGGGAAACGGGCGCUAAUACCGCAUACGUCCCGCGGGAGAAAGCGGGGGAUCUUCAGACCUCACGCGAUCAGAUGAGCCGAGGUCGGAUUAGCUAGUUGGUGGGGUAAAGGCCUACCAAGGCGACGAUCCGUAACUGGUCUGAGAGGAUGAUCAGUCACACUGGAACUGAGACACGGUCCAGACUCCUACGGGAGGCAGCAGUGGGGAAUAUUGGACAAUGGGCGCAAGCCUGAUCCAGCCAUGCCGCGUGUGUGAAGAAGGUCUUCGGGUUGUAAAGCCCUUUAGGUUGGGAGGAAGGGCAGUAAGUUAAUACCUUGCGGUUUUGACGUUACCGGCAGAAUAAGCACCGGCUAACUUCGUG